Molecule: long non-coding RNA, 2387 nt
Organism: Oreochromis niloticus (Nile tilapia)
Lineage: Eukaryota; Metazoa; Chordata; Actinopteri; Cichliformes; Cichlidae
Exons: 2
Source: RefSeq, a predicted model, not a curated record
AAAGCCUUCCAGUGGCCUGGACUGGAGUCUUUGUCGGGCUGAUUAUGGUUCCCGGCCCUUAUGUUUAAUACACCUGAUAUAACAUGUUUAGAUUCUAGAGAAUUAAUAUUAUGGUGCAGUAAUGUCUCCUUUUAUUUUGAAAGGUUUAAAGGGAAGCUGGCUGCUACUGCUGUUCAGCAUCAAUUAACCCGGUUAGCGCUCAUAUUUUAUCUAAAUUAAGUCCUUUAACAGUCAAAGUUUCCUGUCUGACAUGGACUAACACCCCAUAUUAGGCUGGUUUUUACUGGAUGGGGAUGUUCGACUGUUUGUUGGCGUUUAACAGCCACCUUCAGCUGAUUCAACUGCUCUGUCCUGUGGCUCCUUCCUGGAUACACGAGCGGCAUAUUUUUUUGUUGUUUAAACCGAUUAAAGUUCACCAACGGUGAGACUGCCUCAGGUCCGCCUGCUCGGACACACCCACGGACAGACAGCUGGGUUAAAACGAGGCUGAACAUGUUAGCAGAAGUUAACGUGAAGCCCGUGAACAGAGGAACAAUGAUCAGUGAGGUCAGCGCGUACAGCAGGCCGCCAAUGAGGGAACUUCACCCAGAAGUGAUUUCCUCAAAUAUCACAACAUGGCACCGGCUUCCGGAUUGUACGUGCAGAAUCACGUGACCUCGGCAAGCACAAGUUUGAAGCUUGGCUUUCAAAGUAAGACGUAGAAAUUUAUAACAUUGAUAACAGAAAAGCAAUUAAAAGGAAGUUCUAAAAAGGGAGUUAUGUUUUUUAUUCUUUUGUUUAAAAAAACGAAAUUGGGUCACGGAAAAGUAGUUCAUAAGGCAAAAACAGUGUUUGUAUCAUUUUGAUGAGCUUGAAAGUCAAUAUUUGUCUUUAUUCUUCAGCACAGCCUGAACUCUUAGACAAGGUUUCUUGUAAUUUCUUUAAGUAGUCUUCAGGAGUAGUUCUCCAGGCUUCUUGAAGGACAUUCAGAGUUCUUCCUUGGAUGUUAGCCUUUAGAUGAUCCCACACUGCUUCAAUAAUAUUGACGUCCUGGCUCUGUUGAAGCCUAUCCAUGACUCAUAAUGUUUCAUUGUGCACUGGCAGUGUGUUUGCCAUUAUUGCCAUGCUGAAAAAUUAAGAUUUUGCCUAUCAUUUUUCCAGAUGGUAUUGCAUGAUGGAUCAAAAUCUGAUGGUAACUUUCAAGAUUCUUUAUUUUUCACAUGCAUAGUUACACGAGUACAACACGCACUGAAAUAUAUCCGUGUUCUCCAACACCAAAUGCAACCCCGAACCAUGACAGAGCCUAUGUUUUUACAGAUGGCUGUAAACACUCACUAAUGGGCCUCUCUCCUGAGUUCUUCUGUACAUUUUGACAAUUUGAACCUGAAAUUUUACAUUUGGAUUCAUCACUCCAUAAAUCCUGUUGUCACUGAGUUUAAGUUAAGUUCUUGUGUAGUUUGGAAUAGCUCAGCCUUUUUCCUGUUUCCUUUCCUUAAUAGUAGCCUCUUGACAACUUAAUGAGGCUUCAGUGAACAGUAGAUGCAUCACCUGAAGGUUCAGAUGCAUCUGUCAGGUCUUUGUUGGAUUUUUUUUUAGGGCAUGACUUUCAGACACUGUUAAUCUGCUGUAGAUAGUUGGGGUUUUUUUUAGUUCUGGCACUUCUUUUGUAUUCACUUGUCCAGUUUCCUCAGGUUCUUUUAGGGGUACACUGUAGGGCAUGUCAAGAUCUCUGCAGACCACUCACAUCCCGGACACAAACUGUUCAAGCUGCUGCCUUCAGCCAGGUGCUACAGAGCUCGGUUUACUAAAACCAGCUGCCACAGAGUUUCUGUCCCUGGGCUGUCACUCUGAUGAACACUGUAACCCACUGUUAUAUCAUUCAGGUCAUAUGCACAUUGCACUAUCCAGUUUGCACUGGUUCAUGCUGGUUGCACUAAUUUCAGCCUAUUUAGAUCUGUCAUUCACGCCCAGUUGUAGUUUGAUAUAAGUUGUACAGUUUAAGAAACAUGUCAAACUGUUAAAUUUGGUAUUUUUAACUGAUUUGGCUGAAGAAAUGAAAACCAGUGAUGCGUUUCUUUGAAGACCGAAAUCCUCUUUAAGCAAUUAAAAAAGAAGAAGAAGAAGUGGACACUGCUGCAUCAGCAAGGUUCGAUGGGUUUCUGAUGGCUUGAUUCUGACAUUCAGGAUGAACUCGGAAAACUGCUGUCUGCUUCCAAAUUACAUUCUGUACAAAAAGCAACCCUGAGUCUCAUCAGCGGGUUGGCCACUCCGCAGCCUCUCACCGUUAGCCUGUGGUCCGCCCCUCCAAACGCAAUCGCUCCUAACACAACUGUGCUCCCUUCCUCAUCGAGUCAGAGGACCCUCGGGUGGGUGACUCAAACAUAAACAAACACACACACACACACACA